AUGAACGCUGGCGGCGUGCCUAAUACAUGCAAGUCGAGCGAACAGACGAGGAGCUUGCUCCUCUGACGUUAGCGGCGGACGGGUGAGUAACACGUGGAUAACCUACCUAUAAGACUGGGAUAACUUCGGGAAACCGGAGCUAAUACCGGAUAAUAUAUUGAACCGCAUGGUUCAAUAGUGAAAGACGGUUUUGCUGUCACUUAUAGAUGGAUCCGCGCCGCAUUAGCUAGUUGGUAAGGUAAUGGCUUACCAAGGCAACGAUGCGUAGCCGACCUGAGAGGGUGAUCGGCCACACUGGAACUGAGACACGGUCCAGACUCCUACGGGAGGCAGCAGUAGGGAAUCUUCCGCAAUGGGCGAAAGCCUGACGGAGCAACGCCGCGUGAGUGAUGAAGGUCUUCGGAUCGUAAAACUCUGUUAUUAGGGAAGAACAAAUGUGUAAGUAACUAUGCACGUCUUGACGGUACCUAAUCAGAAAGCCACGGCUAACUACGUG
RNAcentral lists this ribosomal RNA (496 nucleotides) under uncultured bacterium. Its description in RNAcentral is "partial 16S ribosomal RNA". It matches the Rfam family "Bacterial small subunit ribosomal RNA", at positions 29 to 507 of the family's 1533-position model. The record is from RNAcentral.